This is a non-coding RNA of Sus scrofa (pig), 1075 nucleotides long. The record is from RefSeq and is a predicted model, not a curated record. NCBI's taxonomy places the organism in Eukaryota, Metazoa, Chordata, Mammalia, Artiodactyla, Suidae.
CAGUUUCGUUUCUGCUGCGCCACGACGGGAGCUCCCAAUUCUUUUUUUCUUAACCAUUUAACAAUGAAUCCUCCCCCGUCAGGCCUUUCCCAGCGCCCAUCUGAACCUCCUCAGCCACGGAAAUCGAAGUGGUGUGUAUCCAAGCUGCAGCUCCAUCUCUACCCUGCUUCCUGCACCUGGUGGGGGACGAGUGCUUCUCCGCCCUUCAGGAAACAGCCCACUUGUCAGCAGCUGGGCUCCCGGGAACAAAGGCCUAGGUUCAUUACCACGGAAUCGACCCUGACACGUUGCACGAGGGCCACCUCCCCCAGAGUUCCUCAAUUCACACCCCAAAUGAAGCGUAAUUGGACCUGGACAUCUUUGAAGUCCCCGAGCAGCUUGCCAGCAUUUUGAAAUGUCCUUGAUUUGCAUGGUGAAAACCCGGCUGGAGGUGACUUUUUCUUUCCCCUCGUCCCACGGUUUUAAAGACAGUGUGAUUUUUAAAUGACAUUCCGCAGCCAGGAAGAGUCACCAUGGAAGAAAUAAAAACGCUUCACGCCAGAAAAGAAAAGGCAACUGAAGUCCGGGGAUCUCACGAAUCUCUCAUUUGCCUCUUGGCUCGGGUUUUGUUCUGUGCGGGCCAAUGUUCCAGGCUGCGGUUUCCUCUCAGGCUUCUCCCCAGGUCCCUGACCUGGGAGCAUGAAAAGGAGCCAGGACCUGGAGCUUCCGAAGGCCAGCAGGUCGCCGUCAGACCUGAAGCCAGAAAACCAGCCCCGCCACCGGCUGGUGAGUUGGGCAUCGCAGUCCAACACCACUCUCUCUGAGAAGGGAAAGGUCCUCUAUCCGUGCUGAAAUGUGACUUAGCGCAACUGAGGAAAUGAAUUUUCAACUUGAUGUAAGGUGGGGUUUUUUUGGAUUUUUUUUUCUUUUUUCUUUUUACGGCUGCACCUGCGGCACAUGGAAGUUCCCAGGCCAGGGGUGGAAUUGGGGCUGCAGCUGCCGGCCUACGCCACAGCCACAGCAACGCCAGAUCCGAGCCACAUCUUCGACCUACGCCGCAGCUUGCAGCAGUGCCCCAGGAUCCUUAACCCAUUGA